Molecule: small RNA, 113 nt
Filed under: Pseudomonas migulae
Lineage: Bacteria; Pseudomonadati; Pseudomonadota; Gammaproteobacteria; Pseudomonadales; Pseudomonadaceae
Also listed under: 1 other name
Source: RNAcentral
AUCAACCGGAGCACAGGAAGUGCUUCGGGAUCAAGGAUGAUCGGCCAUCAGCACGGAACGCUAUCGACAGGGAGUCGACAUGGUCUUGGGAAAACCCGCUUCGGCGGGUUUUU